RNAcentral lists this ribosomal RNA (308 nucleotides) under uncultured eukaryote. RNAcentral's name for it is "partial 18S ribosomal RNA". It matches the Rfam family "Eukaryotic small subunit ribosomal RNA", at positions 1470 to 1796 of the family's 1831-position model. The record is from RNAcentral.
CCCUUAGACGUUCUGGGCCGCACGCGCGCUACACUGACGAAGGCAACGAGCUUUCCUUUACCGAAAGGUACGGGUAAUCUUUUGAAACUUCGUCGUGCUGGGGAUAGAUCCUUGCAAUUUUUGAUCUUAAACGAGGAAUUCCUAGUAAGCGCAAGUCAUCAACUUGCGUUGAUUACGUCCCUGCCCUUUGUACACACCGCCCGUCGCUACUACCGAUUGAAUGGUUUAGUGAGGCCUUCGGAUCCGCGACUCGUUUUGUGGAGAAGUUGGACAAACUCAGUCAUUGAGAGGAAGUAAAAGUCGUAACA